RNAcentral lists this ribosomal RNA (426 nucleotides) under uncultured bacterium. RNAcentral's name for it is "partial 16S ribosomal RNA". It matches the Rfam family "Bacterial small subunit ribosomal RNA", at positions 354 to 796 of the family's 1533-position model. The record is from RNAcentral.
GUGAGGAAUUUUCCGCAAUGGGCGAAAGCCUGACGGAGCAAUGCCGCGUGAAGGAUGAAGGCCUAUGGGUUGUAAACUUCUUUUCCCAGAAAAGAAUUAUGACGGUAUCUGAGGAAUAAGCAUCGGCUAACUCUGUGCCAGCAGCCGCGGUAAGACAGAGGAUGCAAGCGUUAUCCGGAAUGAUUGGGCGUAAAGCGUCUGUAGGUUGUUUAAAAAGUAUUCUGUCAAAGAUUAGGGCUUAACCCUAGAUAGGCAGAAUAAACUUUUAAGCUAGAGUUUGGUAGAGGCAGAGGGAAUUCCCGGUGGAGCGGUGAAAUGCGUAGAUAUCGGGAGGAACACCAAAGGCGAAGGCACUCUGCUGGGCCAAUACUAACACUGAGAGACGAAAGCGAGGGGAGCAAAUGGGAUUAGAUACCCGUGUAGUCC